This 479-nucleotide ribosomal RNA is filed under the name uncultured bacterium. Its description in RNAcentral is "partial 16S ribosomal RNA". It matches the Rfam family "Bacterial small subunit ribosomal RNA", at positions 28 to 523 of the family's 1533-position model. The record is from RNAcentral.
GACGAACGCUGGCGGCGUGCUUAACACAUGCAAGUCGAGCGAUGUAGCACCUUCGGGUGUGAAUUAGCGGCGAACGGGUGAGGAACACGUGAGAAAUCUGCCUUCAACACUGGGAUAACUCCGGGAAACCGGGGCUAAUACCGGAUAUGAAACCUGCGGGCAUCCGCGGGUUUGGAAAGUUUUUCGGUUGAAGAUGAUCUCGCGGCCUAUCAGCUUGUUGGUGAGGUAAUGGCUCACCAAGGCGACGACGGGUAGCCGGCCGGAGAGGGCGACCGGCCACACUGGGACUGAGACACGGCCCAGACUCCUACGGGAGGCAGCAGUGGGGAAUAUUGGGCAAUGGAGGAAACUCUGACCCAGCGACGCCGCGUGCGGGAUGAAGGCCUUCGGGUUGUAAACCGCUUUCAGCAGGGAAGAAGCGAAAGUGACGGUACCUGCAGAAGGAGCACCGGCUAACUAUGUGCCAGCAGCCGCGGUAA